Molecule: ribosomal RNA, 440 nt
Filed under: uncultured bacterium
Lineage: Bacteria
Description: partial 16S ribosomal RNA
Rfam family: Bacterial small subunit ribosomal RNA
Source: RNAcentral
CCUACGGGGGGCAGCAGUGGGGGAUAUUGCACAAUGGGGGAAACCCUGAUGCAGCGACGCCGCGUGGGUGAAGAAGCGCCUCGGCGCGUAAAGCCCUGUCAGCAGGGAAGAAAAUGACGGUACCUGAAGAAGAAGCCCCGGCUAACUACGUGCCAGCAGCCGCGGUAAUACGUAGGGGGCAAGCGUUAUCCGGAUUUACUGGGUGUAAAGGGGGCGCAGACGGCGAUGCAAGCCAGGAGGGAAAGCCCGGGGCCCAACCCCGGGACUGCUCUUGGAACUGCGUGGCUAGAGUGCAGGAGGGGCAGGCGGAAUGCCUGGUGUAGCGGUGAAAUGCGUAGAUAUUGGGUAGAACACCGGUGGCGAAGGCGGCUAUCUGGCCAUUUACUGACGCUGAGGCUCGAAAGCAUGGGGAUCAAACAGGAUUAGAUACCCGAGUAGUC